RNAcentral lists this small nuclear RNA (20 nucleotides) under Arabidopsis thaliana (thale cress). Its description in RNAcentral is "snRNA_01771". The record is from RNAcentral. Lineage: Eukaryota; Viridiplantae; Streptophyta; Magnoliopsida; Brassicales; Brassicaceae.
GUAACGUUGAGGAAUAUAGU